AAGAACCCUCUCAAUACUUCCCAUCAGCAGGCACGUUUCCUGAAAAACAGGGCUCACCACAUAGAACUUUUCCUUGGGAGGACAAAUGCCGUAAUCCUGAACAACGCCCUCCUCCCCUUUACCCCAGAUUUUAUUACUGAGCUUGACAUUAUGCAGUAUGGGAUAUCUGUUUGGAGUCAUCUGUUCUGCUGUGUCCCUGGCAGCUUCUUGCUGGUGGGGCAUUGUGAUGUACAGAGAACACCUGGACACUGUCUAGCACUGCUCAGCAACAGGGAAACCAUCAGUGAGUUACCUGCACUGCUUUGGUCACAGAUCCAAAGCAUAGCACUACACAGCUAUUCUACGUGUGCCCACGAGGAGAUCCUUAAUGCGUGUGUCUGUGUAAAAUCAUCCUGGAAAGGAAAUAUCUUACUUUGGCUUGCUUCUGUUUCAUGAGAAGAAGAGGAAGCGAGCCUAUAAUUACCUCAGGCUGCAUUUAGGCAGAAGCACAAGCCCUCAGGAAGAAAGUCCCUUUCCAACUAAAGACAUCUAGAUUCUGCUUCCUGCAUGCCUUGUCUCAAUGUGCUUGCUAAGCUGUGUAUACCUCAAAUGUACUUCAGAACUGGGCAUUAAUAUAUGACAGUCAUGAGACCUGAAAUCUCCACCACCAAACCAUGGCCUUGACUGGCCCUUCUCUUUUCUCUACUUUUUUUUCUUUUUAAAUUAAAAUCCUU
Meleagris gallopavo (turkey) is the source of this 713-nucleotide non-coding RNA. The record is from RefSeq and is a predicted model, not a curated record. Lineage: Eukaryota; Metazoa; Chordata; Aves; Galliformes; Phasianidae.